UCAAACUUCACAGUCAUCGGCACGUUUUCACGAUACGACGCCGAUUCUGAACGGAGAUUCCUAGAACCAAUAACGUGAACCAUGAAUCACGAAAUCGAAUUACGCAGUGAAGUAAAAUUGACGAGAAGUCAACAAAUAGGAGGAGGUUUGUUUGGGGGAAAAACAGUAAACCCUAACAGAAACAGAAUUGAAAUUGAAAAUUGUGAAUCGAUGUUCGAUAGUUAUGAUGAGUUGCUAGGAAGGAAAGAGGAGGGGAGUACAAUAUAAAUAAUAACCGUGUACACGUGAUCGAGCGAGUAUCACGUGCGUGAUUGUUUCCGUGUGUGUUGGCAGACACGUAUGAAUUAGAUGGAUAUAUGUGGGUCCCACUUUUCUUGGGAUUUAAAGUUGACAAUGACUGCUGGCAAAUUACUUAACAAAUCAGCUCUUAACAAGUGGAUUCUUCUUUUUUUUUUUUUUUAUGCUAAACAACACAACAACAACAACAACAAAAAACAUAAUUAAAAAAGGAAAAGUAACAAGACUAAUUCACAAAAUCCAAACAAUAAUUAGAGAGAGGUGACAAACUUGAUGCGAAGAGGAUGAAAUUUUGCAGCGUUUGUUGAGAGGAGCGUGUUCUUCUUCAAUCGAAUCCUCGAUCUCAAACUUCACAGUCAUCGGCACGUUUUCACGAUACGACGCCGAUUCUGAACGGAGAUUCCUAGAACCAAUAACGUGAACCAUGAAUCACGAAAUCGAAUUACGCAGUGAAGUAAAAUUGACGAGAAGUCAACAAAUAGGAGGAGGUUUGUUUGGGGGAAAAACAGUAAACCCUAACAGAAACAGAAUUGAAAUUGAAAAUUGUGAAUCGAUGUUCGAUAGUUA
Molecule: long non-coding RNA, 864 nt
Filed under: Cicer arietinum (chickpea)
Lineage: Eukaryota; Viridiplantae; Streptophyta; Magnoliopsida; Fabales; Fabaceae
Description: long non-coding RNA (CARI_LNC002169)
Source: RNAcentral